This is a long non-coding RNA of Nicotiana attenuata, 605 nucleotides long. RefSeq lists it as uncharacterized. The record is from RefSeq and is a predicted model, not a curated record. The transcript has 2 exons. Lineage: Eukaryota; Viridiplantae; Streptophyta; Magnoliopsida; Solanales; Solanaceae.
UUUCCUCGAAAAUUCACAUACCCUUUCUCUUCUCUGAAUAAUUAAACUCGUAUAUAAACUCUGUACAUACCCUUUCUUUCUCACAACCAUCUUCUCUCUGUAAAUUGCAAAAAUCCCCUUUCUCUUCUCUGAAUAUAAAUUUUCUAAUUUUUUUUUUCUUGAAUUUUCCACCUUUUUCUUUCUGGGAAAAAUAUAAAUCUGUUUCUAAUAAAUUUGAAGAUGAAUUCAGUUAGAUUGAUGAGCCUCUCAUCUAUUAUUGGUUUUUUAUUGUUGGCUUUGGUUGAGUUUAGUUUUGGACAAGGCAUGGCUCCUUCUUCAGCCCCACUUCCUUCUAAUGACGGCACAGCGAUUGAUCAAGGGAUUGCUUAUGUUCUUCUACUUGUUGCACUUGCGAUUACGUACUUGGUCCAUUAGUACACUCGUGGAGUUAUUUCUUUAGCUUAUAAUCGAUUUUUUUUAUUCAUCAUUUAAAUUCUUUAUGUAAUUUUCUCCUGUUAUUCAGAAUGGAGAAUUUUAUAGUUUUGUGAUUAAAGAAAAUAAGGAAAGAAUUCUUAUUUGUGAUACAAAAUUCAUUUUUCUAAAUUAUUGCGAAUUAUUGUACCUAA